RNAcentral lists this ribosomal RNA (693 nucleotides) under Pichia fermentans. Its description in RNAcentral is "eukaryotic LSU rRNA". It matches the Rfam family "Eukaryotic large subunit ribosomal RNA", at positions 77 to 791 of the family's 3401-position model. The record is from RNAcentral. Lineage: Eukaryota; Fungi; Ascomycota; Pichiomycetes; Pichiales; Pichiaceae.
GCCCCUUUCCGCGGCGAGAGAAAAGGCAAAAGCUCACCAUUUGGAAUCGCUUCGGCGAGUUGUGAAUUGCAGGUUGGCGCCUCUGCGGCGGCGGCGGUCCAAGUCCCUUGGAACAGGGCGCCAUUGAGGGUGAGAGCCCCGUGGGACCGUUUGCCUAUGCUCUGAGGCCCUUCUGACGAGUCGAGUUGUUUGGGAAUGCAGCUCUAAGCGGGUGGUAAAUUCCAUCUAAGGCUAAAUACUGGCGAGAGACCGAUAGCGAACAAGUACUGUGAAGGAAAGAUGAAAAGCACUUUGAAAAGAGAGUGAAACAGCACGUGAAAUUGUUGAAAGGGAAGGGUAUUGCGCCCGACAUGGAGCGUGCGCACCGCUGCCCCUCGUGGGCGGCGCUCUGGGCGUGCUCUGGGCCAGCAUCGGUUUUUGCCGCGGGAGAAGGGCGGCGGGCAUGUAGCUCUUCGGAGUGUUAUAGCCUGCCGCCGGCGCCGCGAGCGGGGACCGAGGACUGCGACUUUUGUCUCGGAUGCUGGCACAACGGCGCAACACCGCCCGUCUUGAAACAUGGACCAAGGAGUCUAACGUCUAUGCGAGUGUUUGGGUGUGAAACCCCGGGCGCGUAANGGAAAGUGAACGUANGUCGGACCGCUCCUCUCGGGGGGCGGGCACGAUCGACCGAUCCUGAUGUCUUCGGAUGGAUUU